GUUGGUAAUUAACAAGCAAUCCACCACUCUUGCGCAACGAAUUCAUGGACCCGUUUUUUCCCCAUUCCGCUAUGGGACCUUAAAAUCUGAAAAAUUCAGGCCUACCCAGUUAUUGCUACUCCAGAUUCGACUGUUUUUCAGGAUUCGAAUUUUUCCUGCGGUUCGGGGGAUAUUUUAUUUUAAAGUUUGGGCUUUUAAAUUUUUUUUCCAUUGGUGGUGGGGGGGGGGGGGGUCUUCAUCAUCGCUUUUUGGGAAAAAGCGACCAUUAAAAAAAACUAAUUCUCAAAAAAGCUUGCUUGGUCACCCCUCAAUGCAAAUCCAAAAGGAAAUCGUUUUCCGGAUUGGAUUCACCGAGUUAUUAAAAAUCUAGUAAAGUGCUAAUUUUGCCAGAUUCCCACCCAACCUAGCAGCCAUUUAUUAUCACCUCUCCUUCGUACUCCUGGCGGAUGAAAACCGAAGCUACGCGUUCAUGGCCUUCACUUUAGACCGAGGGACAAGCUAUAGGCCCUCUCGUAUAGUCUAGUGGUCAGUAUUUGGGUCAUUCCGCUGAAACUGAAUUUUUUUCGGCGCUCAAAAUCACCGAUAUUCCUGUGUAUUUAUUUUUGGUGUAUAAAAUACUCUGUAACGGGAUAAUUUUUCCCGUAUACCGAAUAAGAGAUAAAAAAUCCAAAAGUUUUGGUUUUUUAAAUUUAAAAAAAUUGAUUUUAACAAACAAUCUCCCACUCAACCGCACCGAAAUACCCCCUUUUUUACGGAGGUCGUUUUCGGAUUGUAAUCCGGAAAAGGACUCUAAAAAUCCGGACUAAGUCUAUUCUGCUAAAAAUCGCAAGGCAAUUCCAACGGAAUAAAGUCUGGAUUUUUAUCUUGUUUGGUUCCCGAGACAAUCGGGAUUGAAAAUCGUGAAAUAUCACGAAAACCCAAAGUCUCCCCCUCCGACUACAUCGCUUUUAGCCGUAUAUUCGGCUUCUACAAAAAAACGAAUUGAUGAAAAAUGUAGCCCUUUCAUCCCUCUUUCAGAAUCCAAAAGGAUUUCUAAUAAUUUAUUAUGAUGUCUGAGAUAUCACGAUUUUCGUGAUACCCCCAUUUCGACACAUUUUUCAGGCAUUUUAUUCAGCGUUGCCGAUUGCCGUAUAUGUGACUUCGUCCCCACUCCUUCACUUUUUCCAUCGUUUCCUAUGUAUCAAGUCCCAUCUGUAUCGAUAUACAAGGCCUUGAUACAUAGGAAACAGGGAAAAAGCGAAGGAGUGGACAGAAAAGGGGGCGAAAAGUGACCAAUACUACGACUGAGAAUGAAGGAAACAAUCAAUCAAUCAAACAAGCCAUCUUCCGACGAAGACUUUAUUACAGUUCCGGAAAUGAAAGGAAAUAUCCCGGUCCGAUUUCAUUUAAAACUUGUUAUCAGUAAUUCCGUUUUUCUCUACAGAUAUUCCUCUUGCAAAUUCUCAGUUUGAAGUAAUCCAACAACAACUAAAAAUCUCACAAAAGCCGUACAACAAUCUAAUGGAAAUAUUCCGGUGUUGGAAGAAGACCGUACUCGUCAUGCAACUAUCGUGGAAAAAGAGUUUGAUUUUUUACCAAUAAAAGAUCCUGUUUAGCUCUGCAGUUUUGACGUGAUGGUUGAAUAGCUCGUGAGAAACAUACCAUAAGUUUGAUAUUUCACCGGCGUUUGAAAAAUCGAAAACCAUCAACUCUUUUCUACGUAGCAUUUUCUCUCAACUGAUGGUGCCAGAGGUGGGCAAUAUUGUUCAGUGGAAGACAAGACGAGUUGCUAAUGAACUCAUAACUGGGUUGAAGUGUAUGCCCAUUAUUCUAGCUAUUAUACUCGUAACUGCCAAUCUCUAGUCAAAGGCCACAACAUCCCGAAACAAGACGUCCAGGAUUUCAUUGAUCGCUGCAAGAGAAUCAGAAAACAAGACGCAUACACACAUAGAGGCAACACCAAACAGCCUGUUGUGGUAUCCGAAAGAACCAAUGAGCCUCGUCAAUUGAAAGAUGAUAUUCAAGUAUUACUGGGAAAAAAAGUGGCUCAUCUUGAAAAGUUGAUAGAAAAGUAUGACAAGUAAUCGUUUAAACGAAGUUAGUAUAAUUAUUAUCGUACUGUUCUAUCGUUUGAACGAUUACUUUGUAAUUAUUUUCUAUCAGUUUUUCAAGAUAACAUAUUGAUUUGUUUUUUUUUCACACAGAAAAUUUCGAGUUUUGUUUAUAUUUUGUUUUUGUGUUGUGUUAUUCAAUUGAAUUGUUUCCAAAUGUGGCAUCACGCAAUAAAAUGACAGACCAAUUAAAA
Long non-coding RNA from Daphnia pulex (common water flea), 2284 nucleotides. RefSeq lists it as uncharacterized. The record is from RefSeq and is a predicted model, not a curated record. The transcript has 4 exons. Lineage: Eukaryota; Metazoa; Arthropoda; Branchiopoda; Diplostraca; Daphniidae.